This 443-nucleotide ribosomal RNA is filed under the name uncultured bacterium. Its description in RNAcentral is "partial 16S ribosomal RNA". It matches the Rfam family "Bacterial small subunit ribosomal RNA", at positions 338 to 795 of the family's 1533-position model. The record is from RNAcentral.
CCUACGGGUGGCAGCAGUGGGGAAUAUUGGACAAUGGGGGGAACCCUGAUCCAGCGACGCCGCGUGAGUGAAGAAGUAUUUCGGUAUGUAAAGCUCUAUCAGCAGGGAAGAAAGGAAUGACGGUACCUGACUAAGAAGCUCCGGCUAACUACGUACCAGCAGCCGCGGUAAUACGUAGGGGGAAAGCGUUAUCCGGAUUUACUGGGUGUAAAGGGGGCGUAGACGGUUACGCAAGUCUGGAGUGAAAGGCGGGGGCCCAACCCCCGGACUGCUUUGGAGACUGGAUAACUGGAGUGCAGGAGAGGUAAGUGGAAUUCCUAGUGUAGCAGUGAAAUGCGUAGAUAUUAGGAGGAACACCAGUGGCGAAGGCGGCUUACUGGACUGUAACUGACGUUGAGGCUCGAAAGCGUGGGGAGCAAACAGGAUUAGAUACCCCAGUAGUC